RNAcentral lists this long non-coding RNA (241 nucleotides) under Jatropha curcas. RNAcentral describes it as "long non-coding RNA (JCUR_LNC002960)". Lineage: Eukaryota; Viridiplantae; Streptophyta; Magnoliopsida; Malpighiales; Euphorbiaceae. The record is from RNAcentral.
AUAAGCUUUAGCAAGCUUAAAUUAAAGCUUUCUAAGCUCUCACUUUGCCUUUACUCCAUGGUAGAGGUUUCUCCAACCUUUGGCUCAAGUAGAGAAUCUCCAAAUUUCUUGAAAUAAUUCACCAAAAAUCACUUCCCAAGCUUUAAUCUCUAGGAUUAAUAACUUAAAUCAAGUUGGUUGGGGUGAAUUUGAUGUGUUUAGUAAGGAAGAAUUGAAGAAAAUGAAGAAGAAGAAGAAGAAG